AGUGAACGCUGGCGGUAGGCCUAACACAUGCAAGUCGAACGGCAGCACAGUAAUAGCUUGCUCUUACGGGUGGCGAGUGGCGGACGGGUGAGGAAUACAUCGGAAUCUACUUUUUCGUGGGGGAUAACGUAGGGAAACUUACGCUAAUACCGCAUACGACCUACGGGUGAAAGCAGGGGAUCUUCGGACCUUGCGCGAUUGAAUGAGCCGAUGUCGGAUUAGCUAGUUGGCGGGGUAAAGGCCCACCAAGGCGACGAUCCGUAGCUGGUCUGAGAGGAUGAUCAGCCACACUGGAACUGAGACACGGUCCAGACUCCUACGGGAGGCAGCAGUGGGGAAUAUUGGACAAUGGGCGCAAGCCUGAUCCAGCCAUACCGCGUGGGUGAAGAAGGCCUUCGGGUUGUAAAGCCCUUUUGUUGGGAAAGAAAAGCAGCAGGUUAAUAACCCGCUGUUCUGACGGUACCCAAAGAAUAAGCACCGGCUAACUUCGUG
This 492-nucleotide ribosomal RNA is filed under the name uncultured bacterium. RNAcentral's name for it is "partial 16S ribosomal RNA". It matches the Rfam family "Bacterial small subunit ribosomal RNA", at positions 29 to 507 of the family's 1533-position model. The record is from RNAcentral.